This 74-nucleotide transfer RNA is filed under the name Streptomyces sp. SAI-090. RNAcentral's name for it is "tRNA-Val". Lineage: Bacteria; Bacillati; Actinomycetota; Actinomycetes; Kitasatosporales; Streptomycetaceae. The record is from RNAcentral. RNAcentral also lists the same sequence under 3 other names.
GUGGCUGGUAGCGCAGCGGUUGUCGUGCCUUCACCACAUGUGGGAGGCGGCUGGUUCGAAUCCGGCCAGCCCCA